GCCCGCGUAGCUUAAUGGAAAAGCAUCUCCGUCCUAAGGAGAGGAUAGGGGUUCGAUUCCCUUCGCGGGUA
RNAcentral lists this transfer RNA (71 nucleotides) under Candidatus Parcubacteria bacterium. Its description in RNAcentral is "tRNA-Arg". It matches the Rfam family "tRNA". Rfam says of the family: Transfer RNA (tRNA) molecules are approximately 80 nucleotides in length. Their secondary structure includes four short double-helical elements and three loops (D, anti-codon, and T loops). The record is from RNAcentral. Lineage: Bacteria; Candidatus Parcubacteria.